UGAGGAAUAUUGGGCAAUGCCCGAAAGGGUGACCCAGCAACGCCGCGUGGAGGAUGAAGGUCGUAAGAUUGUAAACUCCUGUUAGAGGGGAAGAAUAACUAAGUUUGGAGCUUAGUAUGACUGUACCCUCAGAGAAAGCCCCGGCUAACUACGUGCCAGCAGCCGCGGUAAUCCGUAGGGGGCAAGCGUUGUCCGGAUUUACUGGGUGUAAAGGGCGCGCAGGCGGGAUAAAAAGUCAGUGGUGAAAUCCUACAGCUUAACUGUAGAACUGCCUUUGNUACUUUUAUUCUUGAGUUCGGGAGAGAGAGACGGAAUUCCAGGUGUAGUGGUGAAAUACGUAGAUAUCUGGAAGAACACCAGUUGCGAAGGCGGUCUCUUGGUCCGACACUGACGCUGAGGCGCGAAAGCGUGGGGAGCAAACA
This 422-nucleotide ribosomal RNA is filed under the name uncultured bacterium. RNAcentral describes it as "bacterial SSU rRNA". It matches the Rfam family "Bacterial small subunit ribosomal RNA", at positions 355 to 774 of the family's 1533-position model. The record is from RNAcentral.